Molecule: ribosomal RNA, 353 nt
Filed under: uncultured bacterium
Lineage: Bacteria
Description: partial 16S ribosomal RNA
Rfam family: Bacterial small subunit ribosomal RNA
Source: RNAcentral
CCUACGGGUGGCAGCAGUGGGGGAUAUUGCACAAUGGGGGGAACCCUGAUGCAGCGACGCCGCGUGGGCGAUGGAGUGCUUCGGCAUGUAAAGCCCUAUCAGCAGGGAAGAAAAUGACGGUACCUGACUAAGAAGCCCCGGCUAAAUACGUGCCAGCAGCCGCGGUAAUACGUAGGGGGCAAGCGUUAUCCGGAUUUACUGGGUGUAAAGGGAGCGUAGGCGGCCUAGGAAGCCUGAUGUGAAAUGCCGGGGCCCAACCGCGGGACUGCAUUGGAAACUGGCAGGCUGGAGUACCGGAUAGGGGGGCGGAAUUCGUAGUGUAGCGGGGAAAUGCGUAGAUAUUAGGAAGAACA